Molecule: transfer RNA, 68 nt
Filed under: Pseudocellus gertschi
Lineage: Eukaryota; Metazoa; Arthropoda; Arachnida; Ricinulei; Ricinoididae
Description: tRNA-Ala
Source: RNAcentral
UGAGCUAGUAGUUAAAUAAUAACAUCUAAAUUGCAAUUAGAAAUAAUUGAAAUCUCAAUCUAACCCAA